RNAcentral lists this unclassified non-coding RNA (238 nucleotides) under soil metagenome. RNAcentral's name for it is "partial internal transcribed spacer 1". The record is from RNAcentral.
GCACUCUAUUGAGAGGUACUUGUUCGUCACGAGCGGGUAUCUCUCCGUAAACACCUGUGAGCACUGAAAUGAUUUGUGGAUGGAAGAGUGGAGACGGCUCAGGCCUUUGGCCUGCGCUGGUUGAAGCUUUUUCCUUUUUUACUUUUUUAAACCCCAACAACCUAUCUUUAACAAUUACAAAGACUGAACUGUCUCUUGCCACAAACAAGAGACAACCUUGAUAUUCUAACCAAAGAAA